Molecule: long non-coding RNA, 526 nt
Organism: Zonotrichia leucophrys gambelii
Lineage: Eukaryota; Metazoa; Chordata; Aves; Passeriformes; Passerellidae
Exons: 3
Source: RefSeq, a predicted model, not a curated record
GGGAGAUGGGCUUUGUUGGUUUUGCUGUGAGGAAGAAGGAGUUAGUGCUGUGAGGAGAUGCCCAUGAGAAAUCAUCAAGAUGGGGUGAACGUGGAUCCUCUGAUCAAACUUCUCUCUGGCUCUCAGAAGUCACUGUAAAACGUCUUCCACACUACUGCAUCAACCCUGGAGCAGUUCAGGACACCCCAGGCUGUGCAGCUGAUUUCCUUGCUCAGAGGAUCUAGAAAGGCAGUUCAAGCUGGGCCAGACUGUGACUACAGGGGAAGUUGGUUUGUUUUGGUCUCCACGAGAAGCCUCAUUGCCCACCUUGUUGCUCUUCAGACAAUGGGUUUGUUGGAAAAGUGAGGCUGAGAUGCUUUGCUGUGGGUCUCACAUCAUCAAAAGGUUGUUGUUGAUAACUGGCCCAGUUGUGUUUGUUCCUUUUUGAGCCUGGUCCAUGGGGAAGGUGAAUUACAGAGCAAUUGUUGAGUUCUUGUUUUGCUCCCUGGUUCACACCCCGGUGAGUUGGGUGGUGGCAUUUCACUCA